AUGCCGCACUCGAGCGGCGGUUCCAAAAGGUUCAUGUUAAGGAACCAAGCGUGCAGGCGACCAUCACCAUUCUGCAGGGGCUUAAACAGCGGUACCAAGACCACCAUGUCUUGGAAAUUCAGGAUGCUGCUCUGGUUGCUGCCGCAGAGCUUGCUGGCCGCUAUAUCACUGUUUCCUGACAAGGCAAUUGAUCUGAUCGAUGAGGCAUGCGCUGCCACAAGGAUGCUGGUUGACAGAGAAAGUGAAGCAACUGGCACCAGGACGCAGAGUUACAACAAAAAAGAAGUGACUGCACAAAGUAGAUCCAUAAAAGCAGUGAAGAAAGGAAUUGUUGGUCCGAGUCAGGUCGCACAGGUUGUGAGCCUGUGGACUGGAAUUCCUGUCGCUGCUAUUGAUCGAGAGGAGAAGGAGAAACUACUACACUUAGCAGAAAAAUUGCAUGAGCGAGUUGUUGGCCAGGACGAGGCGGUCAAUUUGGUUGCACAGACGGUCCUACGUUCCAGAGUCGGCCUUGAUCAACCGGGCCAACCAAUAGGUUCUUUCCUCUUUUUGGGCUCGACUGGUGUUGGAAAGACAGAGCUUGCAAAAGCUCUUGCCGAGCAGCUAUUUGACAAUGAAAAUAUGUUGGUUCGCUUUGACAUGUCCGAAUAUGGUACGAAGGGAUCUGUGUUGCGCCUCAUUGGAGCACCUCCAAGCUAUUAUGGUUAUGACGAUGGAGGACAACUGACAGAAAAAGUCAAGAGUCACCCGUACAGUGUCAUCCUGUUUGAUGAGGUGGAGAAGGCGCAUCGCGAGGUGUACAAUGUUUUUCUUCAACUCCUUGAUGAUGGUUUGUUGACCGAUGGCAAAGGCCGAACAGUAGAUUUCAAAAACACCAUCAUCAUUAUGACCUCAAAUCUUGGGUCAAAGCACCUUGCAGCAGGAAUGGUUGGAAAGAACACAAUGCAAGAAACACACAAUCUUGUCAUGAAAGAGGUUCGGAAACGCUUCAAGCCCGAGCUUCUCAACAGGCUGAGUGAGAUUGUGAUAUUUGAGCCGCUUUCACGCGACAAACUGAAGGAGAUUGUGAAAAUCCAGAUGAAGGGCGCUGUUGCCAGAGUAGCCAAGAAGGGCAUCUCUCUACACGCGAGUGAUGCUGCAUUGGACGUUAUCUUGUCAGAGUCAUACGAGCCAAUGUACGGCGCAAGGCCUAUUAAAAGGUGGAUACAGAAGAAUGUGAUGAACACCAUCUGCGAGAUGCUUGUCAAGGGAGAAGCCGGCGAAGGCUCAACAAUCUCCAUUGAUGCCACCGACCACAACAAGGGGCUCAAGUAUGAAGUGGUGAAGAAGGCGGCAGAUCCUUCCGGCAACAUCUUGGUUCCAGCACCAGAGCCUCUUGCUUGCCCUGACGAGGAAAGCGAUGAUUCGGUCAUGGUCACUUCGUAA
Molecule: ribosomal RNA, 1425 nt
Filed under: Triticum aestivum (bread wheat)
Lineage: Eukaryota; Viridiplantae; Streptophyta; Magnoliopsida; Poales; Poaceae
Description: partial small subunit ribosomal RNA
Source: RNAcentral